RNAcentral lists this ribosomal RNA (406 nucleotides) under uncultured bacterium. Its description in RNAcentral is "partial 16S ribosomal RNA". It matches the Rfam family "Bacterial small subunit ribosomal RNA", at positions 29 to 526 of the family's 1533-position model. The record is from RNAcentral.
AUUGAACGCUGGCGGCAGGCUUAACACAUGCAAGUCGAGCGAGCGGCGGACGGGUGAGUAAUGUCUGGGAAACUGCCUGAUGGAGGGGGAUAACUACUGGAAACGGUAGCUAAUACCGCAUACCAUCAGAUGUGCCCAGCUGGGAUUAGCUAGUGGGGGGGGUAAUGGCUCACCUCGGCGACGAUCCCUAGCUGGUCUGAGAGGAGGACAAGCCACACGGGAACGGAGACACGGUCCAGAGUCCUACGGGAGGCAGCAGUGGGGAAUAUGGCACAAUGGGCGCAAGCCUUAUGCAGCCAUGCCGCGUGUGUGAAGAAGGCCUUCGGGGUGUAAAGCACUUUCAGCGGGGAGGCGUUACUCGCAGAAGAAGCACCGGCUAACUCCGUGCCAGCAGCCGCGGUAAUAC